RNAcentral lists this ribosomal RNA (467 nucleotides) under uncultured bacterium. RNAcentral's name for it is "partial 16S ribosomal RNA". It matches the Rfam family "Bacterial small subunit ribosomal RNA", at positions 28 to 507 of the family's 1533-position model. The record is from RNAcentral.
GACGAACGCUGGCGGCGUGCUUAACACAUGCAAGUCGAACGGAAAGGCCUCUUUCGGGGGGUACUCGCGUGGCGAACGGGUGAGUAACACGUGAGUAACCUGCCCUUGACUUUGGGAUAACUUCAGGAAACUGGGGCUAAUACCGGAUAGGAGCUCCUGCUGCAUGGUGGGGGUUGGAAAGUUUCGGCGGUUGGGGAUGGACUCGCGGCUUAUCAGCUUGUUGGUGGGGUAGUGGCUUACCAAGGCUUUGACGGGUAGCCGGCCUGAGAGGGUGACCGGCCACAUUGGGACUGAGAUACGGCCCAGACUCCUACGGGAGGCAGCAGUGGGGAAUAUUGCACAAUGGGUGGAAGCCUGAUGCAGCAACGCCGUGUGCGGGAUGACGGCCUUCGGGUUGUAAACCGCUUUCGCUCAUGACGAAGCUUUGUGUGACGGUAGUGGGUAAAGAAGCACCGGCUAACUACGUG